GCGCCCAUCGUCUAUCGGUUAGGACGCCACCCUUUCACGGUGGAGAGCGGGGUUCGAUUCCCCGUGGGCGUACCA
RNAcentral lists this transfer RNA (75 nucleotides) under Devosia limi DSM 17137. Its description in RNAcentral is "tRNA_Glu_TTC". It matches the Rfam family "tRNA". From Rfam's summary of the family: Transfer RNA (tRNA) molecules are approximately 80 nucleotides in length. Lineage: Bacteria; Pseudomonadati; Pseudomonadota; Alphaproteobacteria; Hyphomicrobiales; Devosiaceae. The record is from RNAcentral.